Long non-coding RNA from Zalophus californianus (California sea lion), 459 nucleotides. RefSeq lists it as uncharacterized. The transcript is spliced from 4 exons. The record is from RefSeq and is a predicted model, not a curated record. NCBI's taxonomy places the organism in Eukaryota, Metazoa, Chordata, Mammalia, Carnivora, Otariidae.
AAAGCAAGACAAUGUAUUUUGAAAUGAACCGGGCAGGGGAGACACCUUGCUCUUUGCCACGACCACAGAACUGGGAGUUCUUUCCAGAUGAGGUGAACCUUUCCAUCCCUUGGAAACGGGGAAAGCCUCUCCAGCUGUCCAGCCACCGCCUCGUUCCUUCUGCCCUGCCAACCCCGGGGAGCAUCUCAUCCACGUCCUCGGCCACGUGAUGGGGUGCCCAGGAGACAGCAGUGGAUAAGACAAAGUUCCUGCCCUCGUGGAAUUGCUAUUUGAGGUACGAGCAGGGGAGACAUACACAACACGGAUGAAUAUACAAUUUAUUUGUGGUCUUCCGACCCAGUGCUGCCUGAUAGAACUUUCUACAGUGAGAGUGAUCAUCCUCAGAAGACAGUGGCUCACAGUCCACCUGCUGUCCGGAUGGCAGCAAAAGGAAGUUGAGUGCCGAGUUUCAUUCAUGCC